CCUACGGGUGGCUGCAGUGGGGAAUUUUGGACAAUGGGCGCAAGCCUGAUCCAGCCAUGCCGCGUGCAGGAUGAAGGCCCUCGGGUUGUAAACUGCUUUUGUACGGAACGAAAAGCCUCUCUCGAAUAAAGAGGGGUGAUGACGGUACCGUAAGAAUAAGCACCGGCUAACUACGUGCCAGCAGCCGCGGUAAUACGUAGGGUGCGAGCGGGCGUCGGACUUGCGGGGCGGAUCUCGUGCGCCAGCGGUGAAAUCCCCGGGCUCAACCUGGGAACGGCCAUUGUGACUGCAAGGCUGGAGUACGGCAGAGGGGGAUGGAAUUACGCGUGUAGCAGUGAAAUGCGUAGAUAUGCGGAGGAACACCGAUGGCGAAGGCAGUCCCCUGGGCCUGUACUGACGCUCAUGCACGAAAGCGUGGGGAGCAAACAGGAUUAGAUACCCUUGUAGUC
Molecule: ribosomal RNA, 449 nt
Filed under: uncultured bacterium
Lineage: Bacteria
Description: partial 16S ribosomal RNA
Rfam family: Bacterial small subunit ribosomal RNA
Source: RNAcentral